RNAcentral lists this ribosomal RNA (253 nucleotides) under uncultured bacterium. RNAcentral describes it as "partial 16S ribosomal RNA". It matches the Rfam family "Bacterial small subunit ribosomal RNA", at positions 524 to 776 of the family's 1533-position model. The record is from RNAcentral.
UACGAAGGGGGCUAGCGUUGUUCGGAAUCACUGGGCGUAAAGCGCACGUAGGCGGAUUUUUAAGUCAGGGGUGAAAUCCCAAGGCUCAACCUUGGAACUGCCUUUGAUACUGGGAAUCUUGAGUCCGGGAGAGGUGAGUGGAACUGCGAGUGUAGAGGUGAAAUUCGUAGAUAUUCGCAAGAACACCAGUGGCGAAGGCGGCUCACUGGCCCGGUACUGACGCUGAGGUGCGAAAGCGUGGGGAGCAAACAGG